AAUAAGUGCAGCCGUGGAAAUUUGUGUCCAACGUUUGAUCAUCCGUCUUAUUUGAAAAAUUUAUGACUUUUUUUUAAAAAUAGUCACACAUAAAGUACUAUUCAUAUUUUAUCAUCUAAUAACAAUAAAAAUAGUAAUCAUAAAAUUUUUUCACAAAAGACAAACGGUCAAAUGUUGAAGAUGAAUAGUGUAAAACUGCACUUAUU
This 206-nucleotide microRNA precursor is filed under the name Oryza nivara. Its description in RNAcentral is "MIR812 microRNA precursor family". It matches the Rfam family "MIR812 microRNA precursor family". The record is from Rfam by way of RNAcentral. Lineage: Eukaryota; Viridiplantae; Streptophyta; Magnoliopsida; Poales; Poaceae.